AUUGAACGAGGGUGGAAGGGAGAACACAUGCAAGUCGAGCGGAUGAAGGGAGCUUGCUCCUGGAUUCAGCGGCGGACGGGUGAGUAAUGCCUAGGAAUCUGCCUGGUAGUGGGGGAUAACGUCCGGAAACGGGCGCUAAUACCGCAUACGUCCUGAGGGAGAAAGUGGGGGAUCUUCGGACCUCACGCUAUCAGAUGAGCCUAGGUCGGCUUAGCUAGUUGGUGGGGUAAAGGCCUACCAAGGCGACGAUCCGUAACUGGUCUGAGAGGAUGAUCAGUCACACUGGAACUGAGACACGGUCCAGACUCCUACGGGAGGCAGCAGUGGGGAAUAUUGGACAAUGGGCGAAAGCCUGAUCCAGCCAUGCCGCGUGUGUGAAGAAGGUCUUCUGAUUGUAAAGCACUUUAAGUUGGGAGGAAGGGCAGUAAGUUAAUACCUUGCUGUUUUGACGUUACCAACAGAAUAAGCACCGGCUAACUUCGUG
Molecule: ribosomal RNA, 484 nt
Filed under: uncultured bacterium
Lineage: Bacteria
Description: partial 16S ribosomal RNA
Rfam family: Bacterial small subunit ribosomal RNA
Source: RNAcentral